Molecule: ribosomal RNA, 208 nt
Filed under: uncultured bacterium
Lineage: Bacteria
Description: partial 16S ribosomal RNA
Rfam family: Bacterial small subunit ribosomal RNA
Source: RNAcentral
UUCAGAUCGCAGUCUGCAACCCGACUGCGUGAAGUCGGAAUCGCUAGUAAUCGCGGAUCAGCAUGCCGCGGUGAAUACGUUCCCGGGCCUUGUACACACCGCCCGUCACACCAUGAGAGUCGGGAACACCCGAAGUCCGUAGCCUAACCGCAAGGGGGCGCGGCCGAAGGUGGGUUCGAUAAUUGGGGUGAAGUCGUAACAAGGUAGC